UGGUGGCGAGUGGCGAACGGGUGAGUAAUGCAUCGGAACGUGCCCAUCGAUGGGGGAUAACUGCGCGAAAGCGUUGCUAAUACCGCAUACGACCUACGGGUGAAAGCAGGGGACCGCAAGGCCUUGCGUCGACGGAGCGGCCGAUGCCGGAUUAGCUAGUUGGUGAGGUAAAGGCUCACCAAGGCGACGAUCCCGUAGCUGGUCUGAGAGGACGACCCAGCCACACUGGGACUGAGACACGGCCCAGACUCCUACGGGAGGCAGCAGUGGGGAAUCCUGGACAAUGGGCGAAAGCCUGAUCCAGCAAUGCCGCGUGUGGGAAGAAGGCCUUCGGGUUGUAAACCACUUUUGGCGGGAAAGAAAUGGUCUGUGCUAAUACCACGGAUUGAUGACGGUACCCGCAGAAUAAGCACCGGCUAACUACGUG
RNAcentral lists this ribosomal RNA (427 nucleotides) under uncultured bacterium. RNAcentral's name for it is "bacterial SSU rRNA". It matches the Rfam family "Bacterial small subunit ribosomal RNA", at positions 86 to 507 of the family's 1533-position model. The record is from RNAcentral.